Molecule: ribosomal RNA, 497 nt
Filed under: uncultured bacterium
Lineage: Bacteria
Description: partial 16S ribosomal RNA
Rfam family: Bacterial small subunit ribosomal RNA
Source: RNAcentral
GACGAACGCUGGCGGCGUGCCUAAUACAUGCAAGUUGAGCGCUGAAGGUUGGUACUUGUACCAACUGGAUGAGCAGCGAACGGGUGAGUAACGCGUGGGGAAUCUGCCUUUGAGCGGGGGACAACAUUUGGAAACGAAUGCUAAUACCGCAUAAAAACUUUAAACACAAGUUUUAAGUUUGAAAGAUGCAAUUGCAUCACUCAAAGAUGAUCCCGCGUUGUAUUAGCUAGUUGGUGAGGUAAAGGCUCACCAAGGCGAUGAUACAUAGCCGACCUGGGAGGGUGAUCGGCCACAUUGGGACUGAGACACGGCCCAAACUCCUACGGGAGGCAGCAGUAGGGAAUCUUCGGCAAUGGACGAAAGUCUGACCGAGCAACGCCGCGUGAGUGAAGAAGGGUUUCGGAUCGUAAAACUCUGUUGGUAGAGAAGAAAGUUGGUGAGAGUGGAAAGCUCAUCAAGUGACGGUAACUACCCAGAAAGGGACGGCUAACUACGUG